RNAcentral lists this long non-coding RNA (724 nucleotides) under Homo sapiens (human). Its description in RNAcentral is "non-protein coding lnc-GPR37L1-7:3". The record is from RNAcentral. Lineage: Eukaryota; Metazoa; Chordata; Mammalia; Primates; Hominidae.
GCGGCCGGGCCGUGUCCUGCUCGCACCCGAGCGCGCGCUCCUCCCUCGCUGGAGCCGGGGGGCCAGGGGCCGCACCCGCAGGUGGGGUGAGCAGGGAAUCCGCAGGUGGGGUGAGCAGGGAAUCCGCAGGCUUCAGCGGCGGGGGUUGACCGGCAGCUGGCGUCGAGAGGCGCUUGGGAAAUGGGGUCUAAUUUAUUUUAGACCCUGUCCCCGACUGCCGCGCCCUGACUGGCACCCCCUUUCUUAAAGGGUGGUGGGCUCGAGGUGGGUGAGGUUCCGGUUAAGCAGGAGCCUUUUCAGGUUGAAGGAGAGUGGGUCACCCACUUCCCAGGACACGGAGAUGAGAUCUCUACGACAGGGAGGCAGAUGGAGGCUUUUUUGUCCCUGAACCCUUGCCUCUGAGCAUUCCUGGGUACAGUCCCAUCCUCUCAAAAUGCACCCAGUGCAGAGGGACAACCGUAUUCGGGUCUUUUAAUACUCCAUCUUGUUUUGUUCACCACAAUUUACCCCGACCACUUGUUAGGAAGCCUCUGGCCCCAAGUGAAACGGACGCUUGAACUUGCUCCGGAUUUUUACCAGCAUCCCCAAGAUACCCAAACAGAUACAGUCCUGGCAGGGGGUUUUCAGUGAGGAACGUCUGUGACAAAGGAAAAUGUUGCCCUGUUUUGGUGAAAAGCAGAGUAUUCUUCAGGAGGAGAAGUGAUAGUUCUCCUCUUGAAGUGGG